Molecule: ribosomal RNA, 262 nt
Filed under: uncultured bacterium
Lineage: Bacteria
Description: partial 16S ribosomal RNA
Rfam family: Bacterial small subunit ribosomal RNA
Source: RNAcentral
GAUCCUGGCUCAGGAUGAACGCUAGCUACAGGCUUAACACAUGCAAGUCGAGGGGCAGCAUUUUAGUUUGCUUGCAAACUAAAGAUGGCGACCGGCGCACGGGUGAGUAACACGUAUCCAACCUGCCGAUAACUCGGGGAUAGCCUUUCGAAAGAAAGAUUAAUAUCCGAUAGUAUAUUAAAACCGCAUGGUUUUACUAUUAAAGAAUUCGGUUAUCGAUGGGGAGUGCGUUCCAUUAGUUUGUUGGCGGGGUAACGGGCCC